Long non-coding RNA from Jaculus jaculus (lesser Egyptian jerboa), 209 nucleotides. RefSeq lists it as uncharacterized. The record is from RefSeq and is a predicted model, not a curated record. Lineage: Eukaryota; Metazoa; Chordata; Mammalia; Rodentia; Dipodidae. The transcript has 3 exons.
AGGAGAAGCCUGGGGACACCGGCCAGAACUGCUCUGCAUUACGCGUGUGCCUAUGGCCACAGGGAAGUGGUCCAUGUGUUACUCGACUACGAAUGCACCAUCAGUGUCUUCGAUAACGAGCAGUGCACUCCACUUAUUAAGGCCAGCCAGCGGGAGUUUCAUUUGUGUGUCGAUACCCUGCUGACACAUGGAGCUGAUCCGAACGACGC